AGAGUUUGAUCCUGGCUCAGAGCGAACGCUGGCGGCAGGCUUAACACAUGCAAGUCGAGCGGGCGUAGCAAUACGUCAGCGGCAGACGGGUGAGUAACGCGUGGGAACGUACCUUUUGGUUCGGAACAACUGAGGGAAACUUCAGCUAAUACCGGAUAAGCUUACGGGAAAGGAUUUAUCGCCGAAAGAUCGGCCCGCGU
This 200-nucleotide ribosomal RNA is filed under the name uncultured bacterium. Its description in RNAcentral is "partial 16S ribosomal RNA". It matches the Rfam family "Bacterial small subunit ribosomal RNA", at positions 8 to 236 of the family's 1533-position model. The record is from RNAcentral.